Molecule: long non-coding RNA, 4312 nt
Filed under: Equus caballus (horse)
Lineage: Eukaryota; Metazoa; Chordata; Mammalia; Perissodactyla; Equidae
Description: lncRNA (ENSECAG00000039858.3)
Source: RNAcentral
CUGGAGUUUCUUAAAUCUGUCUUCCCUCCAGACUGAAAACCUGCUUCCUCUGUAUCUCACGUUACAAUCCUAACUCAUAUGCAAAUCUCUCCAACUGGCAUGAUUUCACCAAGGGCAGUUUGGAAUUGCAGUGACAGAGGAAGUUUGGAUGUGAACACAGUUGUUCAUCUGAGAGGCUCCAUAGAACGAGCAUUUAGUGAGUUGGGUUUCAAGGUCUUUUACAGUCUUUUGGAGCUCAGGCUCUAAUUGAUACAUAGUUAGGAUUUUAUAAAUUUAAAAUUCAAGAAAUUAAAAAAAUGAUUAACUUUCAAUGCUUUAAAUGUUUUGACUCUUCUAAAGAAAACUGUUUUUCUCCCCACAAUAGCUCCGUAAAAGAGUUGAUGGCAAAUGCUCUUUUUCCUGAAGUCUAUUUCAGAGGUUCCUGGCAAUCAUUUGGGGUUCUAAAUUUGAUUUAACCUCCACGACACCUCUGAAUGAAAUUUAAGGCUGAAAAACAUAGAAAUGGAAGUUUGGACACAUAUCAAUAAUUUUUGAUAGAACUUUACUCAGAGUUAAGUGCAUUGAGAGAACUAGAAACAAGAUUUGGAAAAAAGUGAAAAUUAUAGCCAAGACUAUGACAAGAAGCUACAGCAAAUCCAAUCACAGGGAGGUGGCCAGGCUCCAACCAGCGCACUAGCAACGGACGCCACGGGACACAACUGACCGUGUUCGUUUACAGAUUCACUUACAGAGUGAAUGUAAUCAGCAACAGCCAUUUAGAUAUUAGGAGAUGGGUUCCUUCCCCACACCCUCAAGGUUGAAAUGGUUUCACCAACUGCCGUCACCAACUCCAAGCAGACUGCUCCAAGCAGAGUUGAAAUGUCGUGAGUCUGAGGGACAGAGAAGAAGCUUGAAGAAUGAAUGAGAAGUAUCUAUGGAUUCAUUCUUAAGUGCAAUUGAGGCACUACUCUGGGAAACUGUAAUGAGGUAGUUUGUUUAUUUAUUCUUUUCAUUAGAGAAGCACAUACACAGAAGAAGAAAGAACUUCAUAAUAAUAUAGUAAAAUCCCAUCUGCCCACAUCAACAGUGAACAUUUUGGCAAUUUUCUUUCAUAUGUCACCCAUCUCCACUUAUUUAUUUAUUUUUUUUAAAUUUUGGUGAAAGGUUUGAAGUACCUAGCUUUGUUAUUUUCUUAAAAUUGUGAAUUUACUUUUUUAGAGUAGCUGUAAGUUCACAGCAAAAUUGAGAGGAAGGCAUGGAGAUUUCUCAUAAACUCCCUGCCCCUAUACGUACAUUGCCUCUCCCAUUAUCAACAUCUCCCAUCAGAGUGGUACGUUGGUUCCACUUGAUGAACUACCAUACACGUCACAAUCACCCAAAGUCCGUAAUUCACACUACAGUCCACUCAUGGUGUUGUGCAUUCCAUGGGUUUGGACAAACGUAUAACGACACGCAUCCAUCAUUAUGGUAUCAUACACAGUAUUUACGCUGCCCUAAAAAUCCUCUGUGUUCCACCUGUUCAUCCCUCCCCCUCCCCCAACCCCUGGCAAUCCACUGAUUACUUUGAUUUUCUGAAAAUGAAGAUAUGGAGGGGUUUUUUGCUUUAAUCCUGCUUGUUAUUCUCUAAGCUUCCUGGAUGUGCGGUUUGGUGUCUGCCAUUAAUUGGGGGAAAUUCUUGGUCAUUAUUCUUUCAAAUAUAUCUUCUGCUCCUUUCUCUCUCUUUUCUUUCUGGUAUUCCCAUUAUGUGUAUGUUACAUCCUUUGUAGUUGUCCCACAAUCCAUGGAUAGUGUAUUCUGUUUUUUUCAGACUGAAAAACUUUUGGUUUUCAAAGUUUCUAUUGGUAUGUUUUCUAGCUCAGAGAUUUUUCCUCAUGUGUUCUAUUUACUAAUGAACCCAUCAAAGACAUUCUUCAUUUCUCUUACAGCAUUUUUUAUCUCCAGCAUUUAUUUUGGUUCUUCCUUAGAAUUUCCAUCUCUCUGCUCACAUAGCCCAACUGUUCUCACAUGCUGUCUCUUUGUCCAUUAGAGCCCUUAGCAUAUUAAUUAUAGUUGUGUUAAAUUUACUGGCUGAUAAUUCCAACAUUCCUGCCAUCUCUGGUUCUGAUGCCUUCUCUGCCUUUUCAAACUGUGGGGUUUUUUUGCCUUUUGGUUUGCUUUAUAAUUUUUCCUUGAAAGCCAAACAUGAUGUACUGGGUAAAAGGAACUGCUGUAAACAGAUCUUUAGGGUGUGGAAGGAGAAGCAUUCUAUAGUCCUAUGAUUAGGUCUCAGAUUUUUAGGGAGCCCAAACCUCUGACUGUGAACUUCACAAGCGUUUUUCAGUAUUUUUUUCUCCCCACUUAGGUGGGACAGGAUGGCUUGAGUGGGCUGGAUUUGGUAUUUCCCUUCUUUGUGGUAGGCUAGAGCUGGCUAGAGUUGGGUAUUUCCCUUCCCCAGGUCAGUUAGGCUCUGAUAAUACCCCAGCAGGUUGGGCUCUAGUUAACCAGUUUCCCCUGAUGUCAGGCCUUGCUAGAAAGGAUAGAGUGCUCUGGUGUAUGUAUUUCAAAAUGGUUCCUUUGCCCCUACCCCCUGCUGAAAGCAGGAAAGGAUUUUCUCUGAUAUCUACUGUGGGACACUGGUUGAGCUCCUGAAGGUAAAUCUAACAAUUUUGUGGGCUCCCCAUGUUGACUGGUUUCCCCUGGGGUUUUUAAUUCUCAGGCUUAUCCACACUGAGCCUCUAGCAGUCAGACAAUUAUAGUUCCGGCUUUCCUACCCAGGUGCUGGUUCCCGAGGCCGUUGGUGCUGUGAAUCUGCUCGUCAGCCACAAUGCCCUUGCCUGUCUGUCUCUCCAAUCUUGGGGGUAGUGGUUUGCCCUGUGCCCUCUUCUCUCUUAUGAACUCAAGAAGAGUUGUUGAUUUCUCAGUCUGUUCCACUUUUUUCUUGUUGUUAGACUGGCAUGACAAUUUCCAAGGUCCUUACAUGCAGAAUUGGAAACCCAGUCUCCACUUGUUUUCAUUUUCCCUUUUGUUUUUUUAAUCAAAACUACAACUAGAUUUGAUUAGGAUUGAUCAGUAGAUUCAAGUAUUGUCAGUCGCAGUAGGCAGAAUUCUAAAGAUGCCCACUCAACUUCCUAGCCUCGGUUAUUCAGUAAAACACUAAUUUUGGUACAGCUGUGAAGGGACUUUUCAGAUCUGAUAACGAUAAAGAGAUUGUAUUGGAUUAUAUGAGUGAACCCAAAUUAAUCACCUGAGCCCUUAAAAGCCGAGAAGUUUCUCAGGCUAUUGUCAGAGAGAAGAGGUAGCAGGAGGGAUGAGACAGAAGAGGAAGUCAGAGAUAGACACGAGAAGAACUAGAACUGUUGUUGACUAUGAAGAUGGAGGAAGGGGAUCAGGAGCUAAGGAAUAUGUGGCCUUCGAAGCUGAGAAUGACCCAUAGCCAAAAGCCAGCAAGUAAAUGGGACCACAGUACUACAACCACAUAGAACUGAGUUCGGCUAAGAAACUUGGAAGUAGAGAUAUCCCCAGAACCUGCAGAAAGAAAUGCAGGCCUGCUGACAGCUUGGUUUCUGUCCAUGUGACAUCUAGGCCUGAAAUCAACAAUUUUUGCACCGCCCUCCCCCGCCAGAACUCUUUUUUUUUUUUUUUUUGUAGGAAACAGUAUUUAUAGAUUAUCAUCUGGGUAAUAGGUAUAAAACAUGUUCUGCCAGGCAGAUACCAAGGAAACUCAGGAAUCUUGAGUCCCACAUACCCACUGCCUUCUCCCAAAUCACCAAUCUUCCUUGCAGAGAAGCGAAGGAGGAUCUUGAAAGAGGCCAGCGCUUCUGUCUAGCUCAGAUGCUUCCAAAAAUAAACAGGAGAGGGUGUCAGGUACACAGAUAUCCUGAAGCUAUAAAUCCAGAAAAAUUAACCCAGAUGCUGGCCGCAUUCCCAUGGGGUUUCUGGCCUGGGGCUAGAAUUGAUUAUCAGACAUGAAAGGGGCUGGCCCCGUGGCCGAGUGGUUAAGUUCACGCGCUCCGCUGCAGGCAGCCCAGUGUUUCGUUGGUUCAAAUCCUGGGCGCAGACAUGGCACUGCUCAUCAAACCACGCUGAGGCAGCGUCCCACAUGCCACAACUGGAAGGACCCACAGCGAAGAAUAUACAACUAUGUACUGGGGGGCUUUGGGGAGAAAAAGGAAAAAAUAAAAUCUUUAAAAAAAAAUAGACAUGAAAAUUUAUUUUAUAUUUUUAUACAUUGGUCUUCUAUUUUUAUUUUAUGUCCAUUAGUCGUAAGAAACAUGAGCUAGUGAAAUAUAGUAGAAACUUAAAUGUUUGUUGAUUGAAUAAAUGAACCAGAAUUUUAAUAAAUAUUUGUUGGCAG